CCGGCGAGUUACGUUAUCUAGCGAGGUUAAGUCAGAAAAGACGGAGCCGGAGCGAAAGCGAGUCUUAAUAGGGCGAAAAGUUAGGUGACGUAGACCCGAAACCAAGUGACCUACCCAUGACCAGGCUGAAGGUGUGGUAAAACGCACUGGAGGGCCGAACCCACGUAAGUUAAAAAUUGCGGGGAUGAGUUGUGGGUAGCGGUGAAAUUCCAAACGAACUUGGAGAUAGCUGGUUCUCUCCGAAAUAGCUUUAGGGCUAGCCUCGUGGAGAGGAUAAUGGAGGUAGAGCUCUGUUUGGACUAGGGGCCCGUCAGGGGUUACUGAAUCCAGAUAAACUACGAAUUCCAGAUAUCCAUACACGGGAGUCAGACUGCGAGUGAUAAGAUCCGUAGUCGAAAGGGAAACAGCCCAGAUCACCAGUUAAGGUCCCCAAAUCUAUGCUAAGUGGAAAAGGAUGUGGAGUUGCGUAGACAACUAGGACGUUGGCUCAGAAGCAGCCAUCAUUCAAAGAGUGCGUAAUAGCUCACUAGUCGAGUGGCGCUGCGCCGAAAAUUUACCGGGGCUAAGCAUAGUACCGAAACUGUGGAUGUGUUUUAAAGAGCACGUGGUAGGAGAGCGUUCUAAGAGCGGCGAAGGUGAACCGAGAGGAUCAUUGGAGCGCUUAGAAGUGAGAAUGCCGGUAUGAGUAGCGAAAGAUAGGUGAGAAUCCUAUCCGCCGAAAGACUAAGGUUUCCUGGGGCAGGCUCGUCCGCCCAGGGUAAGUCGGGACCUAAGGCAAGGCCGAGAGGCGUAGUCGAUGGAUAACAGGUAGAAAUUCCUGUACUGUGUCAAAUCGUUAUGAGCGAUGGAGGGACGCAGGAGGUGAAGCACGCAUCGAGCUGGAUCGAUGUUCAAGCGACAAGUGCGGUUAAGAGUCAAAUGCUUCUAACCAGCAACACGAGUCGUGAUGAGGAGUGAAGUAAAAGUAGCGAAGGUGUGGUAGUCACACUGCCAAGAAAAGCUUCUAGCCAGAGAUGACAUACCCGUACCGCAAACCGACACAGGUAGUCGAGUGGAGAACACUAAGGUGAGCGAGAGAACUCUCGUUAAGGAACUCGGCAAAAUGACCCCGUA
Molecule: ribosomal RNA, 1113 nt
Filed under: Lactobacillus crispatus
Lineage: Bacteria; Bacillati; Bacillota; Bacilli; Lactobacillales; Lactobacillaceae
Description: partial 23S ribosomal RNA
Rfam family: Bacterial large subunit ribosomal RNA
Source: RNAcentral